GAUGAACGCUGGCGGCGUGCCUAAUACAUGCAAGUCGAGCGAACGGACGAGAAGCUUGCUUCUCUGAUGUUAGCGGCGGACGGGUGAGUAACACGUGGAUAACCUACCUAUAAGACUGGGAUAACUUCGGGAAACCGGAGCUAAUACCGGAUAAUAUUUUGAACCGCAUGGUUCAAAAGUGAAAGACGGUCUUGCCGUCACUUAUAGAUGGAUCCGCGCUGCAUUAGCUAGUUGGUAAGGUAACGGCUUACCAAGGCAACGAUGCAUAGCCGACCUGAGAGGGUGAUCGGCCACCCUGGAACUGAGACACGGUCCUGACUCCUACGGGAGGCAGCAGUAGGGAAUCUUCCGCAAUGGGCGAAAGCCUGACGGAGCAACGCCGCGUGAGUGAUGAAGGUCUUCGGAUCGUAAAACUCUGUUAUUAGGGAAGAACAUAUGUGUAAGUAACUGUGCACAUCUUGACGGUACCUAAUCAGAAAGCCACGGCUAACUACGUG
Molecule: ribosomal RNA, 497 nt
Filed under: uncultured bacterium
Lineage: Bacteria
Description: partial 16S ribosomal RNA
Rfam family: Bacterial small subunit ribosomal RNA
Source: RNAcentral